AUAAUACGGCCCGGUUCCCAGUUGUUGACCAGUAGUUGCAGGUAAAGUGCUGGGUUGUUGCAGUGGAAGUACUGGAUAGUUAGACAGUAAGGAAAGACAAGGGUGAUCUUAAGGGCUGGGUAACUUUAAAAGGUGAAUUGGUGUCUCUGAAAAAUAAAGAUAUUAAAUAAAUAAAGAUGUUUUGUACGUCUG
Acanthochromis polyacanthus (spiny chromis) is the source of this 192-nucleotide long non-coding RNA. RefSeq lists it as uncharacterized. NCBI's taxonomy places the organism in Eukaryota, Metazoa, Chordata, Actinopteri, Pomacentridae. The record is from RefSeq and is a predicted model, not a curated record. The transcript is spliced from 2 exons.